CUAACUUAAUAUUAAAUUCAAAAUAGUCUUUAUCUUUACAUAAGUUUUGCAAAAUGGUCAUUGUCGUUAAAUUCUCAAGUGACGUCGUUAGUGAGUGAGGUGCAUUGGUGGCAAUUCAGUGCCACGUAGACUGUCCAACGUGGCACUGAAGUCUGCUUCUUUAAAUCUUCUCUCACGCAAGUUGGCUUCUUCUUCUUCCCCAAAAAAAUUAGGGUUUGUGAAGCUGUUGUUCUCUCACGUUGAGUUGCUUCUUCUUCUUCUUCUCUCACGCUCAGUUGCUUCUCGUUCUUUCAUUUAUAAAGGUUCUACCUUUUGCUUAUUCUUGUUCACUUGAUUUCUCCAUGUCUGCAAGUGGCAGUUGUUGUGCAUUUUCUGGUAGUUUCAUUUGGCAAUGCCACCAUGGAAGACUUGCAGCUAUUCAAACUACAAGAACAAGGAGGAAUCCAAGAAGGUUAUUCUAUACUUGUGCAUUGCCCCAAACAGAUCCAAAUAACUGUCAAUUUUUUCAAUGGGUUAAAGAAGAAAACCAAGUUUCUAAUUCCUCUUCUGUCUCAAGAGAAUCAAGGGCAGUGGCUGAUUUGAACCUACAAAUUGAAGCUUUGCAAAAGAAAAUGAAAAAUUUAACAAACAUUGUGUUGUUAGGUUUUUCAUUUUAAAUUAUAAUGUUAGUUUUAGGGGGAAUGUAUUUUAGGUAAAAUCUGUAAUAACAUCUUUUGAUAUUGUAAUUGUUGUUUUGCUGAAGAAUUUGUAGUAGAAAGAAAUUUGUUGCUACUGUCAGUUACCCAUUUCAAUGAAAUAUAAUUUGCAGUUGAAA
This 814-nucleotide long non-coding RNA is filed under the name Glycine max (soybean). RNAcentral's name for it is "long non-coding RNA (GMAX_LNC003610)". The record is from RNAcentral. Lineage: Eukaryota; Viridiplantae; Streptophyta; Magnoliopsida; Fabales; Fabaceae.